This 327-nucleotide ribosomal RNA is filed under the name uncultured eukaryote. RNAcentral's name for it is "partial 18S ribosomal RNA". It matches the Rfam family "Eukaryotic small subunit ribosomal RNA", at positions 1470 to 1796 of the family's 1831-position model. The record is from RNAcentral.
CCCUUAGAUGUUCUGGGCCGCACGCGCGCUACACUGACGAAUGCAACGAGCUUAUAACCUUGGCCGAAAGGUCUGGGUAAUCUCCAAAUUUCGUCGUGAUGGGGAUAGAUUAUUGCAAUUAUUAAUCUUCAACGAGGAAUGCCUAGUAAGCGCAAGUCAUCAGCUUGCGUUGAUUACGUCCCUGCCCUUUGUACACACCGCCAGUCGCUCCUACCGAUUGAAUGGUCCGGUGAAGCGUUCGGACCGUGGCCUUUGGACGGUUCGCCGUCUGUUGGCUGCGGGAAGUUCGUUAAACCUUAUCAUUUAGAGGAAGGAGAAGUCGUAACA